UUGCACGUCUUGUUUAAAGGUCUUCAUGCUCAAGAAUUAGAGAGCAUGACUUGUUUUCUGAGAACUUAUCUUUCCAAAUGGGUGAAAUGUGAAUUCUAUGGUUACAUCUCAAAUCUUAUUCCGUUCUGGGUUUUGUAAAAUAAUGAGACACUCAUUUAAAUUAUAAGUAUGGUUUGAAAUUCAUACCUGAUUAUGCGUAAGGUCAGGUGUCAGUGGAAAGAUACAUAAUGGUAAUGAGGUAUGAAAAUAGGGCUGCGAUUUACUGUUAAAAGCCAGAAGGCUUCAUUGAGAUAGGUAUAUCUAAGGAUUAUGCUCUUAUAGUGGCACAGUGAUGCAUUUAUGCCUUGAAUUUUGAGUAAUGAAACAGUUUCAGAAAUUGAAGCACACUCAUUGGAGAACAUGAGUUCUGAGCAGUAAUGUUAAUUUGUGAAAAACAUGCUGCUAGAAACUUGUUAGCUACUGCUUAGCAGCCUUUGAAAUACUGCUUUGUCACUAAAGGGAGUAAUUGAUAUGUAUACACAGAUAUUUUGUCAAGGUAUUCUAAAUUCUUGGAGCAUGUGGACCCAGUUUGAAGCACUCUUCUUAGCUGUUUGCCCCAGAUCCAGGAGAAAGUGCUUGUAAUUUUGCAAGUGGAUGUAAAACUAAGAGAAGCAAGAUUUGUAAAUGUGAGCUCACCUUGUUUGGAAGGUGCUGGGGAAGGAAGACAAUCUGCACAGAGAUGCAGGUUCUUCUGCCAUGUUUGACAGGCACUUCAAGCAGGAUGAAUGGGAAAAAGCAAUCCCGUGCUUGUUUGUUUGUUUUUAUUUACAGAGGAAGCAGCAGAUCUCAAAUUGUUCCCGGGAGUAUCAUCAAGCUGUAGGCAGAAUUAAGUGCCUUCUCUUGCUGGAGAUUAAAACAGACGUGUUGAGUGGACAAGGAAAGGGAGACAACAGGCAUCAUUCUUCAUAAAUCCACUCUUCUCUGAAAACACUGCAUGGAUGUAUUUGUUUUGAGAUGCAAGGGAACUGCUGAGGUCCUUAGGGGCACAAGUGGGGAGA
RNAcentral lists this long non-coding RNA (1037 nucleotides) under Numida meleagris (helmeted guineafowl). Its description in RNAcentral is "lncRNA (ENSNMEG00000017804.1)". The record is from RNAcentral. Lineage: Eukaryota; Metazoa; Chordata; Aves; Galliformes; Numididae.